Molecule: non-coding RNA, 100 nt
Filed under: Vibrio coralliilyticus
Lineage: Bacteria; Pseudomonadati; Pseudomonadota; Gammaproteobacteria; Vibrionales; Vibrionaceae
Description: Guanine sequence
Rfam family: Purine riboswitch aptamer
About the family: Riboswitches are metabolite binding domains within certain messenger RNAs that serve as precision sensors for their corresponding targets. Allosteric rearrangement of mRNA structure is mediated by ligand binding, and this results in modulation of gene expression. A class of riboswitches that selectively recognises guanine and becomes saturated at concentrations as low as 5 nM.
Source: RNAcentral
GUUACGUCAUAAACGAUGCUUCGUAUAAUCCCACUGAUAGGGUGUGGGAGUCUCUACCUGAAACCGCAAAUUUCAGAUUACGAAGAGUGAAGUGCAUUGC